RNAcentral lists this ribosomal RNA (491 nucleotides) under uncultured bacterium. RNAcentral's name for it is "bacterial SSU rRNA". It matches the Rfam family "Bacterial small subunit ribosomal RNA", at positions 28 to 507 of the family's 1533-position model. The record is from RNAcentral.
GAUGAACGCUAGCUACAGGCUUAACACAUGCAAGUCGAGGGGAAACGAUAGAGAAAGCUUGCUUUUUCUAGGCGUCGACCGGCGCACGGGUGAGUAACGCGUAUCCAACCUUCCGUUUACUCAGGGAUAGCCUUUCGAAAGAAAGAUUAAUACCUGAUAGUAUGGUGAGAUUGCAUGAUAGCACCAUUAAAGAUUUAUUGGUAAACGAUGGGGAUGCGUUCCAUUAGGUAGUAGGCGGGGUAACGGCCCACCUAGCCUGCGAUGGAUAGGGGUUCUGAGAGGAAGGUCCCCCACAUUGGAACUGAGACACGGUCCAAACUCCUACGGGAGGCAGCAGUGAGGAAUAUUGGUCAAUGGGCGAGAGCCUGAACCAGCCAAGUAGCGUGAAGGAUGAAGGUCCUACGGAUUGUAAACUUCUUUAUACGGGAAUAAAGUUUCCUACGUGUAGGAUUUUGUAUGUACCGUAUGAAUAAGCAUCGGCUAACUCCGUG